UCAUGGGUAAUCUGUUCUUUCUCACUAUUUUAAAUUGCCAAUAAAAAUAUAUAUGGACCUAUUGCUGGAUUUUUAUUGUGUGUGUGUUUAUCGCACGAGCAGUCUGCCUUUUCUUUUACCCAUGGAAAACUGUUCAAAUUACAUUGCCUUUAUAUUGGUCUUUUGACUUCCUACUCACUGGACUAUUCCCCCUUAUUUUAUGUUUUUGGUUGCAACUGGGUACAACAGUUUGGAAAGAGAGGGAUCUUUUCU
RNAcentral lists this long non-coding RNA (252 nucleotides) under Pan troglodytes (chimpanzee). Its description in RNAcentral is "long non-coding RNA NONPTRT005521". Lineage: Eukaryota; Metazoa; Chordata; Mammalia; Primates; Hominidae. The record is from RNAcentral.